GCCGGGCGCGGUGGCGCACGCCUGUAAUCCUAGCUACUUGGGAGGCUGAGGCUGGCGGAUCGCUUGAGCUCAGGAGUUCUGGGCUGCAGUGGGCUAUGCCGAUCGGGUGUCCGCACUAAGUUCGGCAUCAAUAUGGUGAUCCCUGGGAAGCUUCGGGUCACCAGGUUGCCUAAGGAGGGGUGAACCGGCCCAGGUCGGAAACGGAGCAGGUCAAAACUCCCGUGCCGAUCAGUAGUGGGAUCGCGCCUGUGAAUAGCCACUGCAGCGUAGCCUGGGCAAGACAGUGAGACACGGUCUCUU
This is an unclassified non-coding RNA of Terrapene triunguis (Three-toed box turtle), 300 nucleotides long. It matches the Rfam family "Metazoan signal recognition particle RNA". From Rfam's summary of the family: The signal recognition particle (SRP) is a universally conserved ribonucleoprotein. It is involved in the co-translational targeting of proteins to membranes. The record is from Ensembl. Lineage: Eukaryota; Metazoa; Chordata; Testudines; Emydidae.